RNAcentral lists this transfer RNA (72 nucleotides) under Marmota monax (woodchuck). RNAcentral's name for it is "tRNA.Ala". Lineage: Eukaryota; Metazoa; Chordata; Mammalia; Rodentia; Sciuridae. The record is from RNAcentral.
UGAGGUUUGGUUCAGGGGUAGAAAGCUCACCUAGCAUGCGUGAGGCACUGGGUUCGAUCCUCAGCACCACAU